AAGUCGUAACAAGGUCUCCGUUGGUGAACCAGCGGAGGGAUCAUUACAGAGUGCCCCAUGGCUCUGCUACCCCUGAGAACCGUACGUUGUUGCCUCGGCGGGCCGUAGUGCCCGCCAGAGGCCCUUACACGCAUUAUUACCCGCCGUCCUCUGACUAAGAUUUUUAAAUUCAUAAAAACUUUCAACAACGGAUCUCUUGGCUCCG
This 205-nucleotide unclassified non-coding RNA is filed under the name fungal sp. Its description in RNAcentral is "partial internal transcribed spacer region". The stretch from base 1 to 46 matches the Rfam family "Eukaryotic small subunit ribosomal RNA", at positions 1786 to 1831 of the family's 1831-position model. Lineage: Eukaryota; Fungi. The record is from RNAcentral.